Molecule: ribosomal RNA, 253 nt
Filed under: uncultured bacterium
Lineage: Bacteria
Description: partial 16S ribosomal RNA
Rfam family: Bacterial small subunit ribosomal RNA
Source: RNAcentral
GACGUAGGGCGCAAGCGUUGUCCGGAUUUAUUGGGCGUAAAGAGCUCGUAGGCGGCUCGUUGCGUCGGCUGUGAAAACCCGCAGCUCAACUGUGGGCUUGCAGCCGAUACGGGCGGGCUGGAGUUCGGUAGGGGAGACUGGAAUUCCUGGUGUAGCGGUGAAAUGCGCAGAUAUCAGGAGGAACACCGGUGGCGAAGGCGGGACUCUGGGCCGAUACUGACGCUGAGGAGCGAAAGCGUGGGGAGCAAACAGG